This is a long non-coding RNA of Carya illinoinensis, 271 nucleotides long. RefSeq lists it as uncharacterized. The record is from RefSeq and is a predicted model, not a curated record. NCBI's taxonomy places the organism in Eukaryota, Viridiplantae, Streptophyta, Magnoliopsida, Fagales, Juglandaceae. The transcript has 2 exons.
GCGAAGCCUAAUUCUUGCGUCCAAAAGAACCUCUCUCAAUAAAAACGACGCUUGAUUUCUUACAAAUAAACUGGUAAAACACAAAAAACUUAAAAUCAAACUUACAUUAUAUUGUCUAGGUACAAAGGGGUAAAGGUGGGGAGGGGUGCACUUCUCAACAUCCAGUUUACUUCAGGGGAAGUGCAUAUACUCCAAGGCUCUUUUUCUCAGUACGUAGCGUUCCAUUAUUAUACAAUCACCGUAUGAUAAACGGCUAGAGUAACUAAUUCGG